GUGGGGAAUUUUGGACAAUGGGCGCAAGCCUGAUCCAGCAAUGCCGCGUGCAGGAAGAAGGCCUUCGGGUUGUAAACUGCUUUUGUACGGAACGAAACGGUCCGGGUUAAUACCCUGGGCUAAUGACGUUACCGACAGAAUAAGCACCGGCUAACUUCGUGCCAGCAGCCGCGGUAAUACGAAGGGUGCAAGCGUUAAUCGGAAUUACUGGGCGUAAAGCGCGCGUAGGUGGUUUGGUAAGUUGGAGGUGAAAUCCCCGGGCUCAACCUGGGAAGUGCGCUUGUGACUGCAAGGCUGGAGUGCGGCAGAGGGGGAUGGAAUUCCGCGUGUAGCAGUGAAAUGCGUAGAUAUGCGGAGGAACACCGAUGGCGAAGGCAAUCCCCUGGGCCUGCACUGACGCUCAUGCACGAAAGCGUGGGGAGCAAACAGGAUUAGAUACCCCGGUAGUCC
RNAcentral lists this ribosomal RNA (450 nucleotides) under uncultured bacterium. RNAcentral's name for it is "partial 16S ribosomal RNA". It matches the Rfam family "Bacterial small subunit ribosomal RNA", at positions 354 to 796 of the family's 1533-position model. The record is from RNAcentral.